GGUGGGACACGGAGGAGCCGAGAGCCGAGGCCCACGCCAUGGGGUGGAGGCCGAAUCCCUUCCCGCCCGCACCCCUCCGUGCGGCUGCGGCUCCCUCGCUGCUCCGGGCCGCUCCCCAGGCCGCCUCGGCCGAGGGUCGGGCCAUGGGCGCUGCCCCUGGGCAGGGGACCGGCUUGGUGGCAGCGCGCAGCCCUGGGGACAGCACUGCGGUGUGCCUGCGGCAGGGUCCCGGCGUGGAGCACUGGCUGGCCCACGUAUCGCAGUGGGAGUGGGAUGUAAUCCUCCUGUUAUCAUCGUUUAUUGCAUGCGGCCAGAUACUACUGCACGUUACCAUCGCUCCUGGGUGCUCCUUUCCUCAGCCCUGGCUGGCUUUGCGCCAUUUGAUGGCUUUGCUUCAUUCCUUAAUGUCUUCUUCGGCUGCUUUCCUGUUCCCUGGGGGUAGCCCCUAGUUCUAGACACGAGAGAAGUCAGAAGGAAGUUGUGAAAUAAACCUGAAGAAGUCCACUGAGCUUCAUAAAUAAGCAAGGGGAAAAAAAAAAUCCAUGGAGGAGAUUCAGUGGAGCCAUGGAAGUAAGGGAAGCCAAAAAUUACUCCUGCCACCUGCUCCUACUUGCGUUCCAGUUCGGUCUUCGCCAGCGAUGGUGGCUUCCUCAAGCCGGGGCCCCCAGCAGCAGCAGCAGGGUCAUCAAGAUUCUCAUCCUGCUUACAUGUUUACGUACAGGAGUUUAGCAUCACUGUGAACGAAAGGUGCCUUCUGGGGAAAGUUGUGACUUCAGUUUCUGUUUUUUCCCCCAGUUAACUCCACAGAUCCAGCAGCACUAUGAUUAUCCGUGGUUAUCCCCAAUUUUGUAUAUACCUACAUUUUUGUUGAAGGAUGCAGCAAAAGGGUCAUCCAAAGGAAUUAACAAAAUCAGAUAGUCCGCAUGUGAAAGGAUGCUUCUGUUUGAAACAGCAUCUCUGAAUCAGUCAUGCCUUUCCUUCCACCAAGGCAAUUUCACGUUUUCAAUAGAAGGCAGAGCUACAGUGAUUUCCCCCCCACACCCCCCACCCGCCCCCAGCAUCAAAUGGCUUUCUGCACAA
Molecule: long non-coding RNA, 1080 nt
Organism: Falco peregrinus (peregrine falcon)
Lineage: Eukaryota; Metazoa; Chordata; Aves; Falconiformes; Falconidae
Exons: 2
Source: RefSeq, a predicted model, not a curated record